RNAcentral lists this ribosomal RNA (497 nucleotides) under uncultured bacterium. RNAcentral's name for it is "partial 16S ribosomal RNA". It matches the Rfam family "Bacterial small subunit ribosomal RNA", at positions 28 to 507 of the family's 1533-position model. The record is from RNAcentral.
GAUGAACGCUGGCGGCGUGCCUAAUACAUGCAAGUCGAGCGAACAGACGAGGAGCUUGCUGCUCUGACGUUAGCGGCGGACGGGUGAGUAACACGUGGAUAACCUACCUAUAAGACUGGGAUAACUUCGGGAAACCGGAGCUAAUACCGGAUAAUAUAUUGAACCGCAUGGUUCAAUAGUGAAAGACGGUUUUGCUGUCACUUAUAGAUAGAUCCGCGCCGCAUUAGCUAGUUGGUAAGGUAACGGCUUACCAAGGCAACGAUGCGUAGCCGACCUGAGAGGGUGAUCGGCCACACUGGAACUGAGACACGGUCCAGACUCCUACGGGAGGCAGCAGUAGGGAAUCUUCCGCAAUGGGCGAAAGCCUGACGGAGCAACGCCGCGUGAGUGAUGAAGGUCUUCGGAUCGUAAAACUCUGUUAUUAGGGAAGAACAAAUGUGUAAGUAACUAUGCACGUCUUGACGGUACCUAAUCAGAAAGCCACGGCUAACUACGUG